AUUGAACGCUGGCGGCAUGCCUAACACAUGCAAGUCGAGCGGAUGAACGGAGCUUGCUCUUGGAUCCAGCGGCGGACGGGUGAGUAAUGCAUAGGAAUCUGCCUGGUAGUGGGGGAUAACGUCCGGAAACGGGCGCUAAUACCGCAUACGACCUGAUGGUGAAAGUGGGGGAUCUUCGGACCUCACCCUAUCAGAUGAGCCUACGUCGGAUUAGCUAGUUGGUGGGGUAAAGGCCUACCAAGGCGACGAUCCGUAACUGGUCUGAGAGGAUGAUCAGUCACACUGGAACUGAGACACGGUCCAGACUCCUACGGGAGGCAGCAGUGGGGAAUAUUGGACAAUGGGCGAAAGCCUGAUCCAGCCAUGCCGCGUGUGUGAAGAAGGUCUUCGGAUUGUAAAGCACUUUAAGUUGGGAGGAAGGGCAGUAAGUUAAUACCUUGCUGUUUUGACGGUACCAACAGAAUAAGCACCGGCUAACUUCGUG
This 484-nucleotide ribosomal RNA is filed under the name uncultured bacterium. RNAcentral's name for it is "partial 16S ribosomal RNA". It matches the Rfam family "Bacterial small subunit ribosomal RNA", at positions 30 to 507 of the family's 1533-position model. The record is from RNAcentral.